UUGAACGCUGGCGGAAUGCUUUACACAUGCAAGUCGAACGGCAGCACGGGGGCAACCCUGGUGGCGAGUGGCGAACGGGUGAGUAAUACAUCGGAACGUGCCCAGUCGUGGGGGAUAACGCAGCGAAAGCUGUGCUAAUACCGCAUACGAUCUACGGAUGAAAGCGGGGGACUCGCAAGGGCCUCGCGCGAUUGGAGCGGCCGAUGGCAGAUUAGGUAGUUGGUGGGGUAAAGGCUCACCAAGCCUGCGAUCUGUAGCUGGUCUGAGAGGACGACCAGCCACACUGGGACUGAGACACGGCCCAGACUCCUACGGGAGGCAGCAGUGGGGAAUUUUGGACAAUGGGCGCAAGCCUGAUCCAGCCAUUCCGCGUGCAGGAUGAAGGCCUUCGGGUUGUAAACUGCUUUUGUACGGAACGAAAAGGCUCUGGUGAAUACCUGGGGCUCAUGACGGUACCGUAAGAAUAAGCACCGGCUAACUAC
Molecule: ribosomal RNA, 482 nt
Filed under: uncultured bacterium
Lineage: Bacteria
Description: bacterial SSU rRNA
Rfam family: Bacterial small subunit ribosomal RNA
Source: RNAcentral